RNAcentral lists this long non-coding RNA (283 nucleotides) under Ananas comosus (pineapple). RNAcentral's name for it is "long non-coding RNA (ACOM_LNC039062)". Lineage: Eukaryota; Viridiplantae; Streptophyta; Magnoliopsida; Poales; Bromeliaceae. The record is from RNAcentral.
GUAAAAUACCUUAUGAUCAUCUUUUGUAUUUGAUGGUUUAACAAAGAAAGAGAAGAAUGUAAAGCUUAUUUUGAGGUAAAUGUGUUGUAAGAAAGAAAUGAUGAGAUUAUGUAAGAACAGCAAAGAAUCUUAAAGGUAAGAGAUGGACGCAAUGUAUAUGAUCUAAAAUGAAUCAUAUUACGUGUGUAGAAUGUUUAGUUUCCUUUUUCUUUCACUUAUGGCUACUGCUUACCCUCGUGUAAGCCGUUGUGUAUGUUUCCGCUAGUGCUUUUCUCUAUUGAUG